CCUGGCGGAUCCAGUCCAUGUAGUAACCACUGAAGUCAAAACCGGAGGCUGCACAGGAGAGUCUCAGGGACCCCCCAGGCUGCACCAAGCCUCCCCCAGACUCCACCAGCUGCACUUCACACUGC
Long non-coding RNA from Dipodomys spectabilis (banner-tailed kangaroo rat), 125 nucleotides. RefSeq lists it as uncharacterized. NCBI's taxonomy places the organism in Eukaryota, Metazoa, Chordata, Mammalia, Rodentia, Heteromyidae. The transcript is spliced from 3 exons. The record is from RefSeq and is a predicted model, not a curated record.